UUAAGCGACUAAGCGUACACGGUGGAUGCCCUGGCAGUCAGAGGCGAUGAAGGACGUGCUAAUCUGCGAAAAGCGUCGGUAAGGUGAUAUGAACCGUUAUAACCGGCGAUGUCCGAAUGGGGAAACCCAGUGCAAUUCGUUGCACUAUCGUUAACUGAAUACAUAGGUUAACGAGGCGAACCGGGGGAACUGAAACAUCUAAGUACCCCGAGGAAAAGAAAUCAACCGAGAUUCCCCCAGUAGCGGCGAGCGAACGGGGAGCAGCCCAGAGUCUGAAUCAGCUUGUGUGUUAGUGGAACGGUCUGGAAAGUCCGACGGUACAGGGUGAUAGUCCCGUACACCAAAAUGCACUGUGAACUCGAAGAGUAGGGCGGGACACGUGGUAUCCUGUCUGAAUAUGGGGGACCAUCCUCCAAGGCUAAAUACUCCUGACUGACCGAUAGUGAACCAGUACCGUGAGGGAAAGGCGAAAAGAACCCCGGCGAGGGGAGUGAAAAGAACCUGAAACCGUGUACGUACAAGCAGUGGGAGCACCUUCGGGUGUGACUGCGUACCUUUGUAUAAUGGGUCAGCGACUUAUAUUCUGUAGCAAGGUUAACCGUAUAGGGGAGCCGCAGGAAACCGAGUCUUAACUGGGCGUUAAGUUGCAGGGUAUAGACCCGAAACCCGGUGAUCUAGCCAUGGGCAGGUUGAAGGUUGGGUAACACUAACUGGAGGACCGAACCGACUAAUGUUGAAAAAUUAGCGGAUGACUUGUGGCUGGGGGUGAAAGGCCAAUCAAACCGGGAGAUAGCUGGUUCUCCCCGAAAGCUAUUUAGGUAGCGCCUCGUGAACUCAUCUUCGGGGGUAGAGCACUGUUUCGGCUAGGGGGUCAUCCCGACUUACCAACCCGAUGCAAACUACGAAUACCGAAGAAUGUUAUCACGGGAGACACACGGCGGGUGCUAACGUCCGUCGUGAAGAGGGAAACAACCCAGACCGCCAGCUAAGGUCCCAAAGUCAUGGUUAAGUGGGAAACGAUGUGGGAAGGCACAGACAGCCAGGAUGUUGGCUUAGAAGCAGCCAUCAUUUAAAGAAAGCGUAAUAGCUCACUGGUCGAGUCGGCCUGCGCGGAAGAUGUAACGGGGCUAAACCAUGCACCGAAGCUGCGGCAGCGACACUAUGUGUUGUUGGGUAGGGGAGCGUUCUGUAAGCCUGCGAAGGUGUGCUGUGAGGCAUGCUGGAGGUAUCAGAAGUGCGAAUGCUGACAUAAGUAACGAUAAAGCGGGUGAAAAGCCCGCUCGCCGGAAGACCAAGGGUUCCUGUCCAACGUUAAUCGGGGCAGGGUGAGUCGACCCCUAAGGCGAGGCCGAAAGGCGUAGUCGAUGGGAAACAGGUUAAUAUUCCUGUACUUGGUGUUACUGCGAAGGGGGGACGGAGAAGGCUAUGUUAGCCGGGCGACGGUUGUCCCGGUUUAAGCAUGUAGGCUGGUUGUCCAGGCAAAUCCGGAUAAUCAAGGCUGAGGUGUGAUGACGAGGCACUACGGUGCUGAAGUAACAAAUGCCCUGCUUCCAGGAAAAGCCUCUAAGCAUCAGGUAACAUCAAAUCGUACCCCAAACCGACACAGGUGGUCAGGUAGAGAAUACCAAGGCGCUUGAGAGAACUCGGGUGAAGGAACUAGGCAAAAUGGUGCCGUAACUUCGGGAGAAGGCACGCUGGUGUGUAGGUGAAGCCCCUGCGGGUGGAGCUGAGACCAGUCGAAGAUACCAGCUGGCUGCAACUGUUUAUUAAAAACACAGCACUGUGCAAACACGAAAGUGGACGUAUACGGUGUGACGCCUGCCCGGUGCCGGAAGGUUAAUUGAUGGGGUUAUCCGUAAGGAGAAGCUCUUGAUCGAAGCCCCGGUAAACGGCGGCCGUAACUAUAACGGUCCUAAGGUAGCGAAAUUCCUUGUCGGGUAAGUUCCGACCUGCACGAAUGGCGUAAUGAUGGCCAGGCUGUCUCCACCCGAGACUCAGUGAAAUUGAACUCGCUGUGAAGAUGCAGUGUACCCGCGGCAAGACGGAAAGACCCCGUGAACCUUUACUAUAGCUUGACACUGAACAUUGAGCCUUGAUGUGUAGGAUAGGUGGGAGGCUUUGAAGCGUGGACGCCAGUCUGCGUGGAGCCAACCUUGAAAUACCACCCUUUAAUGUUUGAUGUUCUAACGUUGGCCCCUUACCGGGGUUGCGGACAGUGUCUGGUGGGUAGUUUGACUGGGGCGGUCUCCUCCCAAAGCGUAACGGAGGAGCACGAAGGUUAGCUAAUCCCUGGUCGGACAUCAGGAGGUUAGUGCAAUGGCAUAAGCUAGCUUGACUGCGAGCGUGACGGCGCGAGCAGGUGCGAAAGCAGGUCAUAGUGAUCCGGUGGUUCUGAAUGGAAGGGCCAUCGCUCAACGGAUACUCCGGGGAUAACAGGCUGAUACCGCCCAAGAGUUCAUAUCGACGGCGGUGUUUGGCACCUCGAUGUCGGCUCAUCACAUCCGGGGCUGAAGUAGGUCCCAAGGGUAUGGCUGUUCGCCAUUUAAAGUGGUACGCGAGCUGGGUUUAGAACGUCGUGAGACAGUUCGGUCCCUAUCUGCCGUGGGCGCUGGAGAAUUGAGUACUGGACCGGACGACUGGUGUUCGGGUUGUCAUGCCAAUGGCACUGCCCGGUAGCUAAAUGCGGAAGAGAUAAGUGCUGAAAGCAUCUAAGCACGAAACUUGCCCGAGAUGAGUUCUCCUGAGACUUUAAGUCUCCUGAAGGAACGUUGAAGACGACGACGUUGAUAGGCCGGGUGUGUAAGCGCAGCGAUGCGUUGAGCUAACCGGUACUAAUGAACCGUGAGGCUUAACCU
RNAcentral lists this ribosomal RNA (2855 nucleotides) under Klebsiella pneumoniae. Its description in RNAcentral is "23S ribosomal RNA". It matches the Rfam family "Bacterial large subunit ribosomal RNA". The record is from RNAcentral. Lineage: Bacteria; Pseudomonadati; Pseudomonadota; Gammaproteobacteria; Enterobacterales; Enterobacteriaceae.